Non-coding RNA from Paramisgurnus dabryanus, 74 nucleotides. NCBI's taxonomy places the organism in Eukaryota, Metazoa, Chordata, Actinopteri, Cypriniformes, Cobitidae. The record is from the annotation of a RefSeq genome assembly.
GGCCCAGUGGCCUAAUGGAUUAGGCAUCAGCCUUCGGAGCUGAGGGAUUGUGGGUUAGAGUCCCAUCUGGGUCA